UCAAGCGAACAAGGGCGCAGGGCGAAUGCCUUGGCACUGGGAGCCGAUGAAAGACGUGAUAAGCUGCGAUAAGCUUCGGGGAGCUGCAAAUAAGCAUUGAUCCGGAGAUUUCUGAAUGAGGAAACUCACCUGGGUUCAUACUCAGGUACGUUAUACUGAACUUCAAAAUAGGUAUAUCGAGGGAACCGCCUGAACUGAAACAUCUAAGUAGGGCGAGGAAGAGACAUCAAACGAGAUUCCGUAAGUAGUGGCGAGCGAACGCGGAAGAGGGCAAACCGAGAGUAGAAAUACUUUCGGGGUACGGACUGCUUUUAAGACUUAAUCUGUUAACCGAACGGCAUGGGAAGGCCGGUCAGAGAGUGUGAGAACCACGUAGGUGAAAACGGAGAGAGCUGCGCAGGAUCCAGAGUACGGCCAGACACGUGAAACCUGGUCGGAAUACGGGGGGACCACCCUCCAACCCUAAAUACUACCCAGUGACCGAUAGCGUAUAGUACUGUGAAGGAAAGGUGAAAAGCACCCCGGGAGGGGAGUGAAAAAGAACCUGAAACCCUGUGCCUACAAGCACCUAGAGCGCGUCAAAGCGUGAUAGGGUACUUUUUGUAGAACGGUCCGGCGAGCGAUUGUAUGCAGCAAGGUUAAGGACUUAAGGUCUGGAGCCGAAGCGAAAGCGAGUUUGAAAAGGGCGUUAAGUUGCAUAUAAUGGGCCCGAAACCGGGUGACCUACCCAUGGUCAGGUUGAAGUGGAAGUAAAAUUCCAUGGAGGACCGAACCGACCUCCGUUGAAAAGGCGGCGGAUGAACUGUGGGUAGCGGAGAAAUUCCAAUCGAACCCGGAGAUAGCUGGUUCUCCCCGAAAUAGUUUUAGGACUAGCCUCAAGUUAGAUACCUGGAGGUAAAGCACUGAAUAGCCUAGCGGCCGAGAGGUUAGCGAAGCUUAUCAAACUCAGAAUGCCAGAGUAUUGAUGCUUGGGAGUCAGACAGUGUCAGAUAAAUGUCAUUGUCAAAAGGGAAACAGCCCAGAUCUACAGCUAAGGUCCCAAAGUCAGGUUAAGUGGAAAACGAUGUGAAGAUACGCAGACAACCAGGAUGUUGGCUCAGAAGCAGCCACUCAUUCAAAGAGUGCGUAAUAGCUCACUGGUCGAGCGUCUUUGCGCGGAGAAUUUAACGGGGCUAAACCUGACACCGAAGCUUAGGCAAUACAGCAAUGUAUUGGGUAGGGGAGCGUUGUAUACGCGGAGAAACAGUAGCGUAAGCGGCUGUGGAGUGUAUAGAAGUGAGAAUGCCGGAAUGAGUAGCGCGAAUGCAGUGAGAAUCUGCAUGGCCGAAAGCCUCAGGUUUCUGGAGGAAGGUUCGUCCGCUCCAGGUUAGUCGGGAGCUAAGGUGAGGCCGGAAGGCGUAGCCGAUGCACAGACGGUAGAGAUUCCGUCACCACCAAAAGAGUUAAGCACAGGGACACAUAUGAAGUCUCAGAGCCGGGUGUUGGUUCCGGUAGAGAUCGAGGGAAAUUAGUACCGAAGUCUGAGAUGGAAGAUGGCGAGAAAAGCUGUGUGUAUUUCUGAGGUGCCCGUACCGCAAACCGACACAGGUAGGUAGGAAGAAGAUUCUAAGGCCAACGGGAGAAGGGUUGUUAAGGAACUCGGCAAAUUGACCCCGUAACUUCGGGAGAAGGGGUGCUCCAGAGAUGGAGCCGCAGAGAAUCGGCCCAAGCAACUGUUUACCAAAAACACAGGUUUGUGCUAAAUCGAAAGAUGACGUAUACGAGCUGACGCCUGCCCGGUGCUGGAAGGUUAAGAGGAGAUGUGCAAGCAUUGAAUCGAAGCCCCAGUGAACGGCGGCCGUAACUAUAACGGUCCUAAGGUAGCGAAAUUCCUUGUCAGGUAAG
This 1884-nucleotide ribosomal RNA is filed under the name human gut metagenome. RNAcentral describes it as "bacterial LSU rRNA". It matches the Rfam family "Bacterial large subunit ribosomal RNA", at positions 3 to 1980 of the family's 2925-position model. The record is from RNAcentral.